RNAcentral lists this transfer RNA (78 nucleotides) under Ipomoea nil (Japanese morning glory). It matches the Rfam family "tRNA". From Rfam's summary of the family: Transfer RNA (tRNA) molecules are approximately 80 nucleotides in length. Their secondary structure includes four short double-helical elements and three loops (D, anti-codon, and T loops). Further hydrogen bonds mediate the characteristic L-shaped molecular structure. tRNAs have two regions of fundamental functional importance: the anti-codon, which is responsible for specific mRNA codon recognition, and the 3' end, to which the tRNAs corresponding amino acid is attached (by aminoacyl-tRNA synthetases). tRNAs cope with the degeneracy of the genetic code in two manners: having more than one tRNA (with a specific anti-codon) for a particular amino acid; and 'wobble' base-pairing, i.e. permitting non-standard base-pairing at the 3rd anti-codon position. Lineage: Eukaryota; Viridiplantae; Streptophyta; Magnoliopsida; Solanales; Convolvulaceae. The record is from Rfam by way of RNAcentral.
GCACCUAUGGCCUAAUGGAUAAGGUGUUUGACUUCUAAUGAAGCGAAGCGAUUGUGGGUUCGAGUCCCAUUAGGUGUG